GUAGUUGUGGCCGAGUGGUUAAGGCAAUGAACUUGAAAUCCAUUGGGGUCUCUCCGUGCAGGUUCAAAUCCUGCCAACUACA
Molecule: non-coding RNA, 82 nt
Organism: Pangasianodon hypophthalmus (striped catfish)
Lineage: Eukaryota; Metazoa; Chordata; Actinopteri; Siluriformes; Pangasiidae
Source: the annotation of a RefSeq genome assembly